This 253-nucleotide ribosomal RNA is filed under the name uncultured bacterium. RNAcentral's name for it is "partial 16S ribosomal RNA". It matches the Rfam family "Bacterial small subunit ribosomal RNA", at positions 524 to 776 of the family's 1533-position model. The record is from RNAcentral.
UACGUAGGGAGCAAGCGUUGUCCGGAAUUACUGGGCGUAAAGCGUGCGCAGGCGGCUUUGCAAGACAGAUGUGAAAUCCCCGGGCUUAACCUGGGAACUGCAUUUGUGACUGCAUGGCUGGAGUGCGGCAGAGGGGGAUGGAAUUCCGCGUGUAGCAGUGAAAUGCGUAGAUAUGCGGAGGAACACCGAUGGCGAAGGCAAUCCCCUGGGCCUGCACUGACGCUCAUGCACGAAAGCGUGGGGAGCAAACAGG